Ixodes scapularis (black-legged tick) is the source of this 622-nucleotide long non-coding RNA. RefSeq lists it as uncharacterized. NCBI's taxonomy places the organism in Eukaryota, Metazoa, Arthropoda, Arachnida, Ixodida, Ixodidae. The transcript has 3 exons. The record is from RefSeq and is a predicted model, not a curated record.
GCACAUUUAAUGAAGAAAUGGAUGCCGAUAAACACCUGCCAAGGUUGACUAAAAAUAAACAGAAACAUCCAAUCAAUAGUUAUGAUUGCACUAAGCGGUUGCUAUGUGGAUGUUUUUUUAUGUUCGACAGCUCAGCAAAGUCUGCGGAUCUGGUUAUGCUUCCUGUACGAGACAGAUCACGAAGUGGUAGCUGACUGACCAGUUGGGGCGAAAAUUUGUGUGGGAAGGACGUAAGAGAAAGUUGACAUUCAGAAACCUUCACCUUGCUGAGUGCAUCAUAAAUGCAGUGCAGAGCUGCCAUAAAUGUGAAGACUUCAAGGUAGAAACCAUGGUCACAGAUUAACUUCGCCACGCACCUGCCUGACAUCAGUCAUCUCAAAUGGAACAUUCUGCACCACAGGAGAGAGAGAUGUGAACUGCCUUAAGUGGGCCUUGAAUGUGCUGAGCUUUUUAUUAUGUUUAUCAGACAUUUUUUUAAGCAAAGUAUCCUGCAUUGUUCAGUAAGUAUACUUCAUUUUGAAAACCUCAUGCUGUCUAUGCAGCAUUGUUCAAAAAUUAUACUUUAUUUUAAAAGCAUCAAGCACUGCUCGUCUGUCUAACAGUAACAAUAAAGAGUUAAUGG